RNAcentral lists this ribosomal RNA (346 nucleotides) under uncultured eukaryote. Its description in RNAcentral is "SSU rRNA". It matches the Rfam family "Eukaryotic small subunit ribosomal RNA", at positions 594 to 945 of the family's 1831-position model. The record is from RNAcentral.
AUAGCGUAUAUUAAAGUUGUUGCAGUUAAAAAGCUCGUAGUUGAACUUCAGACCUGGCCGGGUGGUCUGCCUCACGGUAUGUACUGUCUGGCUGGGUCUUACCUCUUGGUGAGCCGGCAUGCCCUUUACUGGGUGUGUCGGGGAACCAGGACUUUUACCUUGAGAAAAUUAGAGUGUUCAAAGCAGGCUUAUGCCUGAAUACAUUAGCAUGGAAUAAUAAAAUAGGACGUGCGGUUCUAUUUUGUUGGUUUCUAGAGUCGCCGUAAUGAUUAAUAGGGAUAGUUGGGGGCAUUAGUAUUCCAUUGCUAGAGGUGAAAUUCUUGGAUUUAUGGAAGACUAACUUCUG